AAAAAAAAGAGGAUUAUUUGUGGCAGGGAUUACUUCGUUUACGAAUUCGCAGGAGGCGAGGGCGGAACGGAAGGCUGGAAAUUGGACGGGGAAGAACUCGAAGGCGGCGGAGAGGAGAGCGGAGGCGGCCACCACUGAAGGAUCUCGGUCGCGUGGGCUUGGAGUGCUUGGAGGAGAGGGGGUUGGGCGGGUGAGAAGAAGGAAGUGAAGAACCGGAGAAAGGAGAAGGGGGUGAUCGAUCGCAUCCGCCAAUCCAGUGCUUCGAGCACCAGAAGCUCCAUUCUCCGGAUCGUUUGGGCGUCGAACACAAAAUAUUCCUCUCUCUGCAAAUUCGAUCCAAAUGAAACAGUGAAAUCGAUCCAUGUGACCUCGAUUUUUUUGAGAAAGAGGAACCUCUGUUUACCAGGAAAUCCGCUAGAGGUUUGCAGGUUUUCUUCAUCUUGGACGCGAGGGAUAGGCAGGAGAUGGAGAGGAGACGAACGAUCCACGGCUUCUCUAUCUGCAACAGGAGAUCGCUGCUUCUGUAUUAGAUCGACAAUCUGGAAUUAACCGAUUCGAUUGGUCAUCUUCUUCAACUACUACUCAUUUACAGUGACUGAUACCGGGAUUUCGCGCUUGGAAAGGUACCGAUCAAUGUAGUUGAUUGCAAGGCAAGCGACGAAGGGGUCCAGAUUGCAAUUGAACUGCGCCUGCCCACGAAAACAUCACCGCCAUGGAAAAGAUCGGAUCUUUCGUUAGUCUGAGCGUCGAGGUAUAGCAUUACCUGAAGGACCAGAGAGACGGCGUUUCGCCGGGCGGAGGGAUCAAUAGCGCCGACGGUAGAGAUGAUGUGGUCGGCCUCGGCGGCGAAGAGCGCCGAGAUGGAGCCCCACCGAGGUUGCUGCUCGUCGUCAGAGCUCGACAUCUGGUUCUCGAGAUCGAACUCCAUUCCUGCUCCUUAAGUCGUCGUCUCUGCUACCCUGUCGAUCUCAAAGUGAGAAGUAAAAGGUAAAGAUGAAACCUUUAGAACGAGAGACGACCGAAGCGAGCUUUAUAGGUGAAACCACGACGACAGAAAGAGAAAGAGAAGGUGAGAGAAUGAACGGAUAGACUUCUCCUUCACGCUUCUUCCAAUGCUACAACAGAACAGGUGUGAGAAAGAUCCUCUGUUGCGCUGUCUCUCCAAGUUCUCCUGUCGAUUGGUGCUUCCUACUGCUAUUAAUCCUGAUUUCCCUCUUUCGUUAUGGGGACUAGAGAGAGAGGAGGAGGAGGAGGCUUUGCCAUUGCCAUAAGCAUCUUUCCUUGGAUUAAAGUUUCAGAAAAACCAAGAGAGAGAGAGAGAGAAGGUGGUGGCAGGGGAGAGGAACAGCGAGAGCUGCUGUGACAGGCGAACAGGUGUCGCUGCCUUACGGGGGCGAAGAAGUGGGGACGGCGGGGGCCGCAGGCGCAGUGGCAGCAGCGGCGCAGAGCAGCUGCAGCAGCAGAAGAAACAGAACAGAGUAUUCGGUCUGACGCCUGUAUUGUUCGACUUUGAUUGCUCUUCUCUCUCUCUCUCUAUAGUUGGACGCGGAGGUGCUCAACUGCAAGCAAAUCAAUGCAGGAUGUUGGACGCGGAGGUGCUCAACAGGCAAAGAGAUCCUCUCGCAUGAGAGCAACCUCUUAUUUCAUUUUUGGACAGUGUAAACCAUCCCUGAACGCUAAGCUUCGUUCUCCCCGAGAGCCCUGCAACAUAGAUUAAGCUAAUGCCCAACCAAAUCUACCUAAGAGUUUAUGCUCAUCUAACGCAAGUCGCCUGUAGUUGAGCUGAAGCUAAUUGCUCCUCUAAUCAAUUCGAGUAUAUGAUUGCUUGUAUUGGAUUAAAUGGACAGUAGCUGAGAACAGAAGAAGGACAGAGGAGGCCUCAUGGAUGCGUCCUCUUCCUCAUUCAGGCAAGCCACUGCCUGCUGUUUCGCUCACAGAGCUCUGAUGGCCAGCCACCCCAUGUGAGAGUGCCCCAUGAACGGAGAAGGAAACGUUUGCGUCUCCUGUGCUGCCACAAAGCAGCAUUUGCCAGCUAUCUCGCCAUGUCCUUUGAGGCAGAACACAAGGAAGGAGUGCGUCGAGUCCUCCUUUAAUUGGCCCUCCACCACUUGGCCUGUAUCGGAAAGAAGAAAGGUCCCAAACAUGGGUUGCACUGUUCAUUCCAGUCUACGAAAUCCCAGGGAAAGUAAUGUCUUCUUCUUCCUUCUUGAAGAACUGAGCGACUGAAGCAGCAACCAGAUAGAUAUAGCUUGGCAUGUACCCUUUUCCAUGGCGAGGCUGGUGGGAAGCCCAUGUGAGGGGCUCGGAAUCCUGCACAGAGGAACAUGUCGAGAUGAUUGUGGGGGAUGAAGAACUGUCAGAUUUGAAUGCUGCUUGGUCCCUCGGAGGCCACCAAAGCCAGAAACCAUUUCGUUUCAUGCCAAGGACUUGACUCUGCCCAUCUCUCUCUCUCUCUCUCUCUCUCUACAGGGCACACAAGCUUUUGGGAUGUUAAAGAAGAUGCAUUUAUGUAUAUGUCAUGUUGCUUUCUUGGUUCCA
Long non-coding RNA from Musa acuminata AAA Group (dessert banana), 2538 nucleotides. RefSeq lists it as uncharacterized. The transcript is spliced from 2 exons. The record is from RefSeq and is a predicted model, not a curated record. NCBI's taxonomy places the organism in Eukaryota, Viridiplantae, Streptophyta, Magnoliopsida, Zingiberales, Musaceae.